Dromaius novaehollandiae (emu) is the source of this 531-nucleotide long non-coding RNA. RefSeq lists it as uncharacterized. The record is from RefSeq and is a predicted model, not a curated record. Lineage: Eukaryota; Metazoa; Chordata; Aves; Casuariiformes; Dromaiidae. The transcript has 4 exons.
UAAGAAACCUGUCUGCUGCAAGACAACAGAGGAAAAGAGGAGAAAUGCAAGUGUGCUAAAAGCAAGGUCACGGGUUUACAGACAUUGCAUGGCGAAAAUGGAAACUUGUACCUCAUCAAACAAUUUGUGCCCGUUGCCUCUCAUCCUGUCACUGGGCAGCACUGGGAAGAGUCUGGCCCCAUCCUCUCUACACCCUCGCAUCAGGGAGAAAAAGGCAGAAGAAGAAAGCAGUGAAGAAACCUAGCCCCCAGUGCUGCAGAACUGAUCAAACGGACCUUCUAGGGGCCGUUCCAGCGAGCUCCCACGGAAGAUAGCCUUGAGGAACUGUAACUUGUCACGUCCCUUUGCCUCUAGGCUUGUGUGGGUGGGAAGCUACCAUGGAAAAGUCCAGUGUGCCCAGAAUAACUCAGCAAGGAGCCAGCAUAUGAAGUUUAAAUAAUUCACCCGAGGUCACACAGCAAAUCAACAGAAAACUCAUGGGCUCUGAGAGAUUCCUAUCUCAUAGUCUGUUCGUUAGCCAACACUGCCUAU